CCCUAGCCCCGAUUGCAGUGGAAAUCCUUUUAUGGAGUCCCGACGCUUCGGGACGCAAUAAAAGAUUGCAACGUAAAGCGGGAAACAGC
RNAcentral lists this small RNA (89 nucleotides) under Flavobacterium caeni. Its description in RNAcentral is "Flavo-1 RNA". It matches the Rfam family "Flavo-1 RNA". The record is from Rfam by way of RNAcentral. Lineage: Bacteria; Pseudomonadati; Bacteroidota; Flavobacteriia; Flavobacteriales; Flavobacteriaceae.